UACGGGGGGGGCAAGCGUUGUUCGGAAUUACUGGGCGUAAAGGGCUCGUAGGCGGCCAACUAAGUCAGACGUGAAAUCCCCAGGCUCAACCUGGGAACUGCGUCUGAUACUGGUUGGCUUGAAUCCGGGAGAGGGAUGCAGAAUUCCAGGUGUAGCGGUGAGAUGCGUAGAUAUCUGGAGGAAUACCGGUGGCGAAGGCGGCAUCCUGGACCGGCAUUGACGCUGAGGAGCGAAAGCCAGGGGAGCAAACGGG
This 253-nucleotide ribosomal RNA is filed under the name uncultured bacterium. RNAcentral's name for it is "partial 16S ribosomal RNA". It matches the Rfam family "Bacterial small subunit ribosomal RNA", at positions 524 to 776 of the family's 1533-position model. The record is from RNAcentral.